Molecule: long non-coding RNA, 542 nt
Filed under: Setaria viridis
Lineage: Eukaryota; Viridiplantae; Streptophyta; Magnoliopsida; Poales; Poaceae
Description: long non-coding RNA (SVIR_LNC011279)
Source: RNAcentral
GAGUACAAAUUCCUGCUGGCUUCGGAGUUAGGUGCCUGAGAGAAAACUGGGAAUGUGAGAGCGGUUAAGCGGAGUAUUUUCAGGCGACUCUGGGCUACAACUGGCAUAGAGUACAUUCAAUAGCUUGCCAAGGAAAGGCUGAAGCGGGAGAAGGAAACGGCGGCCAAGCUCGAAGCUGAGGAGAAAGGUGAUGACGAAGCUAGUGCACCUUAGACUGGGUAGAGUGCUGGGGGCUCAGGAAUUCUUGUGAAAAACUUUUGAAAAAGACAUUUUUUUGUCUUGUAAUAGCGUUGUAGUCGUGGCGUUUGAUGACAUUUGAAUUGUGGCCGAAGCGGUUUGACAGUUAUUUUCUAGGAAUGUGUAAAUGCGUUUUUUUGGUGGUGAAGUGCCAUGCUUACUUUUUUAGUUUCUUGCGUACUUGUGCUCCUUUGUUUUGCAGGGGCUUGGAGUUUUUCUUUGGGCUAGCUUCGCUAGGCCUGUUGCGGCUUGCUCCUGCGAAAGGGCGGUUUAAGAGGAUGGUUUGUUUGAAAAAGAACGUCACC